AGCAAUUUUACGGUCCUUGAGGAGGUACCAUGAGGUACCACUUUUUCUAUUUUUGGUACCUCAUGGUAUCUCCUCAAGGACCAUAAAAUUGCUCUAUUGA
This 100-nucleotide unclassified non-coding RNA is filed under the name Oryza sativa (Asian cultivated rice). Its description in RNAcentral is "partial microRNA MIR440b-38 precursor". Lineage: Eukaryota; Viridiplantae; Streptophyta; Magnoliopsida; Poales; Poaceae. The record is from RNAcentral.